GAUUUAUUUUUAGCAACAACAACACUAUUGAAAUUAAAUGAUUUAGAGGAUAAUAUUGUUAGUGAAGUCAAUGUCAUUAAAGAAGAUUAUUUAAGUGAGAGUACCAUCGCCCAAGGUAAAAAUAAAAUAUACAAAAUAUUUAAAUUAUAUAAUCGACAAGUUCUUCUCUGGACUAAUUCUACUGACAAUUCUAAUAGCUGUCAAAACGGAAAUGCAUUUUGCAGAUGGUACUACAAAGGCUUACGAAGUAAAAAAUAUAAUAAAUCAAGUUGGCAGAACGGAAGCAGUAUACAAUAAUAAUAAUCAGUUACUCAGACAUGACUUAAAAUAUACUGAAAGUCCUCUGAGAGAAUCUAAUUCAGAUUCAAAUGAAGUGUCAAGAAGUAAGCAGCUUCUUCAGGGACAGAAGGAUUUUAAUGGAGAACCUUUAGAAGUGGAGAAAAAGGGGGCUAAAAAUGCUCAGGAAAGUAAACACUUUGGUUUAAAGAGUUUUGGUCACAAAGACUAUUUUAAUAAUUCUUAUAUAAUUCCCUUUAUUAUCAUGUAUAGCGUUAUUUUUUAUUUAGAUUAUAAUUAAUUAUACAGAAUAUUUUAAUUUUAUUUAAUAAUGAA
Anthonomus grandis grandis is the source of this 612-nucleotide long non-coding RNA. RefSeq lists it as uncharacterized. The record is from RefSeq and is a predicted model, not a curated record. Lineage: Eukaryota; Metazoa; Arthropoda; Insecta; Coleoptera; Curculionidae. The transcript has 3 exons.